RNAcentral lists this ribosomal RNA (940 nucleotides) under Bifidobacterium longum subsp. infantis. RNAcentral's name for it is "bacterial SSU rRNA". It matches the Rfam family "Bacterial small subunit ribosomal RNA", at positions 470 to 1406 of the family's 1533-position model. The record is from RNAcentral. Lineage: Bacteria; Bacillati; Actinomycetota; Actinomycetes; Bifidobacteriales; Bifidobacteriaceae.
UGAGUUUACCCGUUGAAUAAGCACCGGCUAACUACGUGCCAGCAGCCGCGGUAAUACGUAGGGUGCAAGCGUUAUCCGGAAUUAUUGGGCGUAAAGGGCUCGUAGGCGGUUCGUCGCGUCCGGUGUGAAAGUCCAUCGCUUAACGGUGGAUCCGCGCCGGGUACGGGCGGGCUUGAGUGCGGUAGGGGAGACUGGAAUUCCCGGUGUAACGGUGGAAUGUGUAGAUAUCGGGAAGAACACCAAUGGCGAAGGCAGGUCUCUGGGGCCGUUACUGACGCUGAGGAGCGAAAGCGUGGGGAGCGAACAGGAUUAGAUACCCUGGUAGUCCACGCCGUAAACGGUGGAUGCUGGAUGUGGGGCCCGUUCCACGGGUUCCGUGUCGGAGCUAACGCGUUAAGCAUCCCGCCUGGGGAGUACGGCCGCAAGGCUAAAACUCAAAGAAAUUGACGGGGGCCCGCACAAGCGGCGGAGCAUGCGGAUUAAUUCGAUGCAACGCGAAGAACCUUACCUGGGCUUGACAUGUUCCCGACGAUCCCAGAGAUGGGGUUUCCCUUCGGGGCGGGUUCACAGGUGGUGCAUGGUCGUCGUCAGCUCGUGUCGUGAGAUGUUGGGUUAAGUCCCGCAACGAGCGCAACCCUCGCCCCGUGUUGCCAGCGGAUUGUGCCGGGAACUCACGGGGGACCGCCGGGGUUAACUCGGAGGAAGGUGGGGAUGACGUCAGAUCAUCAUGCCCCUUACGUCCAGGGCUUCACGCAUGCUACAAUGGCCGGUACAACGGGAUGCGACGCGGCGACGCGGAGCGGAUCCCUGAAAACCGGUCUCAGUUCGGAUCGCAGUCUGCAACUCGACUGCGUGAAGGCGGAGUCGCUAGUAAUCGCGAAUCAGCAACGUCGCGGUGAAUGCGUUCCCGGGCCUUGUACACACCGCCCGUCAAGUCAUG